This 713-nucleotide ribosomal RNA is filed under the name uncultured bacterium. RNAcentral describes it as "bacterial SSU rRNA". It matches the Rfam family "Bacterial small subunit ribosomal RNA", at positions 21 to 752 of the family's 1533-position model. The record is from RNAcentral.
GGCCGCGGGAAUUCGAUUAAAGCCUAACACAUGCAAGUCGAACGGAAAGGCCCCCCUUGCAGGGUACUCGAGUGGCGAACGGGUGAGUAACACGUGGGUGAUCUGCCCUGCACUUCGGGAUAAGCCUGCGAAACUGGGUCUAAUACCGGAUAGGACCAUCGUUUAGUGUCGGUGGUGGAAAGUUUUUCGGUGCAGGAUGAGCUCGCGGCCUAUCAGCUUGUUGGUGGGGUAAUGGCCUACCAAGGCGUCGACGGGUAGCCGGCCUGAGAGGGUGGACGGCCACAUUGGGACUGAGACACGGCCCGGACUCCUACGGGAGGCAGCAGUGGGGAAUAUUGCACAAUGGGCGCAAGCCUGAUGCAGCGACGCCGCGUGGGGGAUGAAGGCCUUCGGGUUGUAAACUCCUUUCAACCAUGACGAAGCAUUAUGUGACGGUAGUGGUAGAAGAAGCACCGGCUAACUACGUGCCAGCAGCCGCGGUAAUACGUAGGGUGCGAGCGUUGUCCGGAAUUACUGGGCGUAAAGAGCUCGUAGGUGGUUUGUCGCGUCGUCUGUGAAAUUCCGGGGCUUAACUCCGGGCGUGCAGGCGAUACGGGCAUAACUUGAGUGCUGUAGGGGAGACUGGAAUUCCUGGUGUAGCGGUGAAAUACGCAGAUAUCAGGAGGAACACCGAUGGCGAAGGCAGGUCUCUGGGCAGUAACUGACGCUGAGGA